RNAcentral lists this ribosomal RNA (254 nucleotides) under uncultured bacterium. RNAcentral's name for it is "partial 16S ribosomal RNA". It matches the Rfam family "Bacterial small subunit ribosomal RNA", at positions 524 to 776 of the family's 1533-position model. The record is from RNAcentral.
UACGUAGGGUGCGAGCGUUGUCCGGAAUUACUGGGCGUAAAGAGCUUGUAGGUGGUUUGUCGCGUUGUUCGUGAAAUCUCACGGCUUAACUGUGAGCGUGCGGGCGAUACGGGCAGACUAGAGUACUGCAGGGGAGACUGGAAUUCCUGGUGUAGCGGUGGAAUGCGCAGAUAUCAGGAGGAACACCGGUGGCGAAGGCGGGUCUCUGGGCAGUAACUGACGCUGAGAAGCGAAAGCGUGGGGGAGCGAACAGG